RNAcentral lists this ribosomal RNA (433 nucleotides) under uncultured bacterium. Its description in RNAcentral is "partial 16S ribosomal RNA". It matches the Rfam family "Bacterial small subunit ribosomal RNA", at positions 29 to 507 of the family's 1533-position model. The record is from RNAcentral.
AACGAACGCUGGCGGCAUGCCUAACACAUGCAAGUCGAACGAGACCUUCGGGUCUAGUGGCGCACGGGUGCGUAACGCGUGGGAACCUGCCUUUAGGUUCGGAAUAACUCAGAGAAAUUUGAGCUAAUACCGGAUGAUGUCUUCGGACCAAAGAUUUAUCGCCUUUUGAUGGGCCCGCGUUGGAUUAGCUAGUUGGUGGGGUAAAGGCCUACCAAGGCGACGAUCCAUAGCUGGUCUGAGAGGAUGAUCAGCCACACUGGGACUGAGACACGGCCCAGACUCCUACGGGAGGCAGCAGUGGGGAAUAUUGGACAAUGGGCGAAAGCCUGAUCCAGCAAUGCCGCGUGAGUGAUGAAGGCCUUAGGGUUGUAAAGCUCUUUUACCCGAGAUGAUAAUGACAGUAUCGGGAGAAUAAGCUCCGGCUAACUCCGUG